Molecule: long non-coding RNA, 201 nt
Filed under: Elaeis guineensis (African oil palm)
Lineage: Eukaryota; Viridiplantae; Streptophyta; Magnoliopsida; Arecales; Arecaceae
Description: long non-coding RNA (EGUI_LNC064635)
Source: RNAcentral
UGCGGAUAGUUAUUCACCGUAAUUGAUAAUCAUGGAUAUCUUCUCGAUUCUUUUUAAGCCGCAUAAGCAUCCGACCUCUACAGGUAUCCAUGAAACAUAUCUAGAAAAGCUCCUCUCUUAUUUCUUCAUCAAGAAACUAGCAAGCAAUCUUGAGGAAGAAAAAAAGAAGAUGAGAGAACUCCUCCUCUCAAAUCAGCACCU